UCUGUGCCGGUGAUGGUUCUAAAUAUACUUUGAGGGGAGUUCCUUCUCUUUGAAAAAGAAACCGAAUCUGAGGCGUUCC
Molecule: small nucleolar RNA, 79 nt
Filed under: Eucalyptus grandis
Lineage: Eukaryota; Viridiplantae; Streptophyta; Magnoliopsida; Myrtales; Myrtaceae
Source: RNAcentral